RNAcentral lists this long non-coding RNA (272 nucleotides) under Selaginella moellendorffii. Its description in RNAcentral is "long non-coding RNA (SMOE_LNC001131)". The record is from RNAcentral. Lineage: Eukaryota; Viridiplantae; Streptophyta; Lycopodiopsida; Selaginellales; Selaginellaceae.
GGGUGCACUCUUAUUCAUGGGCCCUUUCCCUCUAUAUUUGAACCCCUAUGGAUCGUCUCUCGAGUCGUUCCCUUUGGUUGCUUACAAUCCACCACACUUCCCUGCAAGUUCACGCCCUCGUGAACGGAAGCUGAGAGCCGCAGCUCUCCCGAGAGCCUCGCUCUCUUGACACCCUACCCCUCGGGUCGAGCCCAGCGGGAGCAAACUGGACCAGCCAGAUAUCAAUCAACAUGUGGUGCGAUUCCCCUAAGCCAACCAACAGAGUCGGACCC